UAGUAGAACUACUAUACUUUUGGAAGUACAAGAGUUUUGUUACUUCCGACUUUUAAUUCUUAGAUUAACUUCUUUGACCAUUUCUGAUUUUUGGAUUAAUAUUAUUAUCUUAGAGAGACCACUCAAUUCUAGGGGGACCACUAUCAUCUCGACCAUACAGUCCUUAAUUCAAGGGCAAAAAAGUCGGAAGCACCAUCUCCUUCAUACUUCUAAAAGUAUAGUAAAUUCCUAAACCCUAGACUGUGUAGAGUUUCUAUAGUUUCGGAAGCGUAAGAGAGUUGGUACUUCUGACUUUUUGGCUCUUAAAUCAAUAAUUGAACAGUCGGGAUGAUAGUUAUCUCCUCUAAAGUUGAGUGGUUCGUUUAGGGUAAUAACAUUAAUCCAAAGGUCAGAAAUAGUCAAAAGAGUUGAUCCAAGAGCCAAAAAGUACAAACUUUUUUAUAUUUUCAAUAGCAUAGUAACUCUACUUUCUUAUAUACACACACGCACUUUUAAUUAAGCAUCUGAAAUCCAACGGCUAAUUAUAUCUCUUGACAUUUUUAUCCAUUUUCUUUUUUCAA
RNAcentral lists this long non-coding RNA (560 nucleotides) under Ananas comosus (pineapple). RNAcentral's name for it is "long non-coding RNA (ACOM_LNC017312)". Lineage: Eukaryota; Viridiplantae; Streptophyta; Magnoliopsida; Poales; Bromeliaceae. The record is from RNAcentral.